Molecule: RNA transcript, 7302 nt
Organism: Biomphalaria glabrata
Lineage: Eukaryota; Metazoa; Mollusca; Gastropoda; Planorbidae
Exons: 2
Source: RefSeq, a predicted model, not a curated record
AUUUUAUAAUAUAGUUUUGCAUUUAUGUUUUGCAGGCUAUUAUUACUGCUGUGUAACUGCUGUGUUACUGCUUUUAACUGCUGCCUUUUAGCUGCUGUUGUAUAUUACUGCUUAUAGAUCUAGCUGCUGUUUAUAGCUGCUGUUGUUAGAUCUAUUCUAAUUCUAGGGAAUCUAGAAUCUAGUGUUAUUUUGUUUCUUUAUUAUCACCUUAGUAAACUUAGUUAUAUUUAUUUAUAGUCUGUUUCUCAGUUCUGUUCUUAGUGAAUAGUAAGGUACUGAGCCUAAGGAUAGGAUAUUCUUGUUUUAGUGUUAGUGUUAUGAGUGUAAUAGUAGGAUAUUGUAGUGUGUUUAUUGUAGAUCUAGGUCUAGUGUAGUAGUUUUAGUGAUUUAGUUAGAUAGUUGUUUUGAUCAGUUUGUGUCAGAUAGUUGGUUUGGUUAGUUUGGUAGUGUUUGUAGUGGUGUAGAUUUAGAGGGUAGUUUAUAGUAGUUAGUGUAUAUAUUAUAUUUUAUUAUUGAUUUAUUUUGUAUGUAAAUAAAAUUUCUUUUUGUUUUAUUUAUCGUAAACUAAAGUUUAUCUUGUCUCCAUUUAGUUUAGUUUAGUAUGUCUGGUUACUUAGGUGACUCUAGCCCCUUGGUCACCAUACCGAGGUGCACAGAUUGAGCCCACCCAGUAGCGCAAACAUCUGCCUACUGUUAGGUAAAUUUUAAUGUUGAGCGGCAGAGAAUAGGUCCUCUCUCUCUAUCCACUCGCGCCUGCCUGACCUGCUCACAUUUUUGGUGUCAGAAGUGGGAUCUGUGCUUGAGUGACCAGACUUGUAUUUUUUUAUUGGGAUAGAUUAGGUUUGCGUAGGAGUUUAGGCAUUGAUAGGAAGUAGUGUAUAGUUCAGUUUUUCUUUGGGCGUUUGUUAGAGAGGUUAUUAGGCUUUAGUUUUGUUGAGUAGUUACGUAGAUGAACAGCGAGGCAGCAGCAGCAGCAAGAAUGCAGCCGUCUCAGACAGUUAUCUUGGUGCCUAGGACAGAGAUGAGUAUCCGGCGCUUCCAUGGUGAUGGUCCUGCCAGGGAAAUUGAAGAGUUCCUUCAAAAUGUUGAGAGAGCUUGGAAGUCUCAACACAUGGUGCAUCCAGAGGAAAAAUGUGACUUCCUCUUUGCACAUCUAGGUGAGGCAGUGAAGGCCGAACUUAGGUGUCACCCUCAGACGACAAGGGCAUGUCCAGAUGCCCUUGUACAAGUUCUACACUCCACUUAUGGAGAAAGGCGGAGCAUCAACUGCCUCAUUGGGGAGCUGUUCCGAAUAAGCCAGCACCAGUAUGAGUCUGUCCGCGCAUACUCACACCGUCUCCUUCAAGCAUUUGAAGCACUCACAGACAGGCAGAGAGCUCUAUCUGAAACUCCCUUCAGCAAGUCUAUCCUGAGGGACCAGUUUGUAGAAAACCUCAGUGACAGGAUCCUAAGGAGAGAUCUGCGAGAGAGACUACUUGACAGGCCAGAAACUGAAUUCCUGGCGUUAAGAGACAUGGCCAUCAGGUGGGCCCAGGAUGAGGAUGUCGCACCGCAAGUCAACGUCACAUGCAGUGAGAUAAAGAUUGAAAGCCAGCUAGCUGCGCUCUCCAAGCAAGUGGAGGAGCUUGCAGCCCAGAUUGUGCUCCUACAACUUUCGGGACCACAGAACUCUAACUGUCCCCACUGCAACCACCAUCAACCUGAUCACAUUAGCGGCAAGGUGAGACAGAUUGUCUCACAACCAAAGCGCACUCUUAACCAUAAGAGGCCAACGAUGAAGAACAGGAAAUGCUACACAUGUGGCAAACCUGGCCAUCUUGCAAGAAAUUGCAGGCUGCAGAACAGGUUCCAAGGUCAGCGAAAGAAGCCAGGGAACCGGGCUUACCAGCAACACCCUUCUAGAAGCAACUGCUCGAAUUGUGGAAGCCGGGACCACUUCACCCGAGCUUGCCCUGAUGUCACUGCAGCAGUGAAUCGCGUUCAGGUUGCCUCAGUGGAACAACCACAGGCAGUACAACUGCAACCUGCUCCCAAGCCAACAGAAUUGUCGGUUGAGGUGCCACCGAAUCCUAGGCGAUCCAACACUGCUCCUGAUUCAAUUGUUCGCAGAAACCAACCCGCAGUGGCAGAAAUGAUGUCGAUGCGUACAGAAGUCGCCUCACCUGACACUUCCAGUAAUCAUGCAGAAGGAGGUAGGGAAACAAAUCCUUUCCUACAGUUUCAUCUGGUCCAACCAGAAUCCACAUUGCUUUCCCAUGAGGUUCCUGAGUUGCAGAAGAAAAGGAACGACCUUCUGAACAUUGGGUGCAGAGUUCUUGUCGAACAGAGAGUCAGAGGCCAGGGAAGAAUGUUCAUGCAGUAUGAACCGUCAUGUUUUGUAAUUACUGCAGUACCCAAGUAUGCUUCUGGCUGGUACAUGGUGGAGGCAGAAGACGGCAGUACUUACCGAUAUGUAAGAGAGGAGGAAAUGAAGUUCGUUUCCUCACCAUACUAGCAUAAUUCUUCAUUUGUAUAUUUGUAAUUUUUAUUCAAUAUGUUGGUUGCAUUCCAAUGUAUCAAGAUGUAUUAGUUUGUAAUAACUCUAUGAGUACAUGUUAUCUACAUGUGUGUUUAAAAGUUUUUUUAAGCUUAGUAGAUGCUGUACCUAUUUGAGAAUGUACAGAAUCAAGAGUAUUUUCUUGUGUUUUUAGCUGAUGAAGUGUAUAUAUUUUUUUGCUUUUGUCCUUGUAAAGCAAUGUAACCUAAGUCAUGUCAUGGAGAUGUAUAUUUUUGUGUGAAAUCGAUUUUAGUGUGUAUUUUCUUUGAUGGUAUAAUAUGUCAGCAGUAUGUAUGUAAUGCAUUUUAAGUAGUUUGUUAGUAUUUUGUUUUGCGAGGACGCAAAAAUUUAAGGCGGGAUGAAUGUGAGCUUGCGCUCCCAGAGCUAUAUUUUUAUAUAUUUUAUUUUUAUAGGCUAGUGCCAAACUUAUUAUUUCUACUUCCGCUUUUUGUGUAUAAAAAGUGAUGCCACGCUGUUUUAAAACAGUUCAGUGUACAGUUGACCAGUGGUCAGUACCAUAUCUGUCUGUGUGACAGCUGAAUAUCUUUGUGGUCUGUCGUCUAAUUAUAUUUUUAUUCCUGUACCUGGGACGGCCUGCUAUUAUUACUGCUGUGUAACUGCUGUGUUACUGCUUUUAACUGCUGCCUUUUAGCUGCUGUUGUAUAUUACUGCUUAUAGAUCUAGCUGCUGUUUAUAGCUGCUGUUGUUAGAUCUAUUCUAAUUCUAGGGAAUCUAGAAUCUAGUGUUAUUUUGUUUCUUUAUUAUCACCUUAGUAAACUUAGUUAUAUUUAUUUAUAGUCUGUUUCUCAGUUCUGUUCUUAGUGAAUAGUAAGGUACUGAGCCUAAGGAUAGGAUAUUCUUGUUUUAGUGUUAGUGUUAUGAGUGUAAUAGUAGGAUAUUGUAGUGUGUUUAUUGUAGAUCUAGGUCUAGUGUAGUAGUUUUAGUGAUUUAGUUAGAUAGUUGUUUUGAUCAGUUUGUGUCAGAUAGUUGGUUUGGUUAGUUUGGUAGUGUUUGUAGUGGUGUAGAUUUAGAGGGUAGUUUAUAGUAGUUAGUGUAUAUAUUAUAUUUUAUUAUUGAUUUAUUUUGUAUGUAAAUAAAAUUUCUUUUUGUUUUAUUUAUCGUAAACUAAAGUUUAUCUUGUCUCCAUUUAGUUUAGUUUAGUAUGUCUGGUUACUUAGGUGACUCUAGCCCCUUGGUCACCAUACCGAGGUGCACAGAUUGAGCCCACCCAGUAGCGCAAACAUCUGCCUACUGUUAGGUAAAUUUUAAUGUUGAGCGGCAGAGAAUAGGUCCUCUCUCUCUAUCCACUCGCGCCUGCCUGACCUGCUCACACUGACAACAAAGAUGCGUCUCUUAAACUCAAAUGUCAAGGCCGUUUUGCAAUAUGGACUAAAAGUGCCAUUAGGAAAGUGCAAACUUUCAUUAACAGCUGCCUACAAAGAAUCCUUCACAUCCAUUUGCCAGACACCAUCGGCAACAGUGACCUCUAGCAGAGAAACAGCCAAACUCUUGCAAAAGAAGAAAUCAGAAAGAGAAUAUUGGGCUGGACUGGGCACACUUUGCGCUAAUCACCAACUAGUAUCACAAGACUGGCAUUGAAGUGGAACCCACAAGGCAAGAGAAAGAUGGGGCGUCCUAGAAGCACCUGGCAAACUAGAGGAAGUUUGGUUACACCUUGAACAAGAUGGAAAGGAUAGCCCAGGACAGGGGACUAUGGAGAUCUAUUGUUGGCGGCCCAUACCCCAAUAGGGGUGACGAGCUGUAAGUAAGUACGAGUUCAAUCAUAUUAUAAUUAUUGGCACAAAACUUUUUUUCUGACAAUUUAAGAAAGUUGUCCUUCAAAGUUUUAUAGGGUGAUUUUAAUUAGAAACAACAUGGGCCACACUAGUAGGCCCCCUACAUGGGCCACACUAGUAGGCCCCCUACAUGGGCCACACUAGUGGGCCCCCUAUCACGGAAACGUUGACAAUCUAAGGCCUUCUGUCUCGAAACGACUAGGAAUCAUCUCAUGGAUCCUUUCUUUUUUUUUUAGUUUUGUGGUAUAUUGCAUAAGCGCAACAACGCCCAUUGUAUUCUAAAUUAAUGACGAAAAAUUUUAAUCUUUUAAUUUGUUAUAAUUGUUACAAAUUGCAGGUAACGUAGUUAUUAUUAUUUUUUUAUUUUAUUUUGCCAAUGAUCUAGUUUUUAUAGUGAAAAAAUGUGGACACAUUCUCUAUUAAAAUUCUGAAGCUAUCAAUUACUGUGUGUAUUUUUUGUUUUUCUCCUAAUAUAUUUUCAUUAACCAAAUCUUUCAAAGCCUUUCUGACAACGGAAAGCUAGAAAUAAAUUAAUCAGAGAAUAGCUCAAUUAAAUGUAUAACAAGACUUAACUGCAUUUCAAUUUUAUAUCGCAAUUGGGCCCUAUGGACACAAUUCAAAAUGUUAAAAUUUGGAAUUAGGCAUUGUGGCCAUGCAACAAGUAAUUUUUUAAAAGACUUUUUUACAGGUCAAACAUUAGAAGAAGUUUACUCAUUUCAAUAGGCCUACUCAGGGUCAAACAUAACAAAAUAUGGAGGAUCAAUAAAAGAUAGGCCUACAAACACGGUUAAGCUUGACAUCCGAACAUUCUGGAAGAGUAACAUCACUUCCAAGUCAAAUUAAAACAGUAUUCUUCCCUAGUGGUCUCUGUACUCCAAUAUGGUUGUGAAAGUUGGACACCGAACUCUGAGGCUGAAAGAAGAAUUCAAGCCUUUGAGAGUCAAUACUACAGACAAAUGGUGGGUAUUAGAUAUCAGGAAAAGAAGAUACAAGAAAAGAAAAAAAGGAAAGUAAAGUUCAGAUCUUUUGUAUAGGAUCUAUAGGACAGACCGUAUACAUGUGUCAUUACUUUUUAUGGCCGACUGUUAACAAGAGUGUCAUGUGGCCAGUACAACGACCAACUGCCAUUACUUUCCUUAACUAAUGUUAGGUCCCAUUAGAUUUGGGUGGACUCUGGGAUGUCCUAAAAUCCUAGUAUCUACCAAGAAUCGAAACGAAGACCCAUCACCUUGGAAACCAAGCGAUUUACCCACUUAGAGCCAUCUUCAAGAAGCAAGGCAUACUAAAAAUCCUUAAAACCAAGGGUUUAAAAAAAAAGAAAAGAAAACCAAGACAAGUUUUUAAACACUUCUAAAGCAAUAAUUCCUAAAACCAUUAGGCUAUUGAUGAGUGAUGUCUGGGCAGUUUUAAGGUCACAUUUAGAUGUUCAGUUUACAAUAGAAUCCACUGUUCGGCAAAAGUUGCUAAGCAUUCUAAACCAUACUGGACAUUACAACACGUAAAUUCUCACAAGACUGGCAGAAAUGAGCUCACCUUUAAAUGUAUAGAAUUUAGAUAAUUUCAUUAUAAAUAAAGUAACUUUCAAUAUGCAAAAACAAAAUGCACACUAAGAUGUCACAAUUAGAUUUUUUUGUUCAUCACUUGUCCCCUGGCUAUUUCUCCAUUCCCUCUAAAACUAAUGAGGCAUGUGUCUUGUCAAGGGAAAAAUGUUCUACUUCUCAACAAUCUAUUCAAACAGAAUAUAAACAAAACUGGCAUUCAGUAAACAAAUUAAUCAAACAGUUUAUUUAUUGUUCAUAUUAAAAACAAACUACAUUUAUAAACCUGCUAAACCAGACUAUUUUAAUGUACCUACUUCUUGUAUAACAAGUUAUUUACUACAUCUAUAGACCUACAUCUGUUUUAUCAUCAUCCUCUGUCUAUAUCUACAUUAUACUUUGAUUCUAGUUCAUACACAAAACCAAAGGUUUAUAGAAACCACUUACACACUAAUGCUCUCACAAAUGUUGUUAUAACUUAUCACUUCAGUUCACACAGUCACACUAAAUAAAUUCAAAUAAAAAAAAAAAAGAAAAAUUAUUGUUCCAAAUGUUUAUUUCUAUUCGCCAUGUGCAUACACAUAUUAUCAGACUAGAUGGACAUCUUAAAGAAAUCAUUAAUAAAAAGGGAAUGUUCUGGCAAUUAUUAUUUCAAUAUCUUAGAUUUUAAUUAAUUAGCAUAGAACAAUGAUUGACACAAAAAUAAUCUCAUGAAGUAGGCUAAUUAAAGGUCUGUCAUUGACACAAUAAUAAUCCUCUUCUCUCCUAAACUGAUGUUGGGUCUACACCCAUCUACCCAAAUGUUAUUUUUUCAGUCUGUGUACACCAGGAUUCUGAACCAUAGAUGUAUAUUAUGUAGCUAAGUGUUCUACCUAUUAGCCACAAUGUCACAUUUACUAUUUAACCAUAUUUAUUCAAACAAAACUGAACUACCACUAAAUUGUUGAAGAAGGAUCUGAUUCAUGAUCCAACAAAUAGUGUUUCAUGGAAUGUCCUGCAUAGACAGACUCUAUAUUCAAUGACUGUAAUCAUCAAAAACAGAAGGGCAUUGUGUCCAAGCCUAAGUAUUAUUAAUUACUAGCCGGAUAUGACUAAGGAUAUGACUAACGAUCUGCGGGCCUAAGUUUUGGAAUUAUUGAUCUACUGGUUUGAAUUUAGAUUCAUGAUAAACAUGGAGAAUGUUCCCUUUUUUAAACAGAGAUACAUUUAAGUAUUUUUGUCUAUUUUCAGGGCCCUCCGGUAGUGGUAGGGACAUUAAACAUACACUAUAGUCUCUGCCAUGAUGUAAGGAACAUUCAUGUCAAGUUUUAUCAAGAUUGGUCAAAUGGUUUUGAUUUCUAUGUGGGACUUACAUACAUACAUACGCCUUACUUUCUGCUUUAUAAUAAUUAUUAUAAGAGUAAAAAAAAUUAUGAGCAAGCAACAAAAAAAA